RNAcentral lists this ribosomal RNA (1273 nucleotides) under Staphylococcus cohnii. RNAcentral describes it as "partial 23S ribosomal RNA". It matches the Rfam family "Bacterial large subunit ribosomal RNA", at positions 1653 to 2925 of the family's 2925-position model. The record is from RNAcentral. Lineage: Bacteria; Bacillati; Bacillota; Bacilli; Caryophanales; Staphylococcaceae.
ACCGACACAGGUAGUCAAGAUGAGAAUUCUAAGGUGAGCGAGCGAACUCUCGUUAAGGAACUCGGCAAAAUGACCCCGUAACUUCGGGAGAAGGGGUGCUCUUUAGGGUUCACGCCCAGGAGAGCCGCAGUGAAUAGGCCCAAGCGACUGUUUAUCAAAAACACAGGUCUCUGCUAAACCGUAAGGUGAUGUAUAGGGGCUGACGCCUGCCCGGUGCUGGAAGGUUAAGAGGAGUGGUUAGCUUCUGCGAAGCUACGAAUCGAAGCCCCAGUAAACGGCGGCCGUAACUAUAACGGUCCUAAGGUAGCGAAAUUCCUUGUCGGGUAAGUUCCGACCCGCACGAAAGGCGUAACGAUUUGGGCACUGUCUCAACGAGAGACUCGGUGAAAUCAUAGUACCUGUGAAGAUGCAGGUUACCCGCGACAGGACGGAAAGACCCCGUGGAGCUUUACUGUAGUCUGAUAUUGAAAUUCGGUACAGCUUGUACAGGAUAGGUAGGAGCCUUAGAUACGUGAGCGCUAGCUUACGUGGAGGCGUUGGUGGGAUACUACCCUCGCUGUAUUGGAUUUCUAACCCGCACCAUUAAUCAUGGUGGGAGACAGUGUCAGAUGGACAGUUUGACUGGGGCGGUCGCCUCCUAAAGAGUAACGGAGGCGCUCAAAGGUUUCCUCAGAAUGGUUGGAAAUCAUUCAUAGAGUGUAAAGGCACAAGGAAGCUUGACUGCGAGACUUACAAGUCGAGCAGGGUCGAAAGACGGACUUAGUGAUCCGGUGGUUCCGCAUGGAAGGGCCAUCGCUCAACGGAUAAAAGCUACCCCGGGGAUAACAGGCUUAUCUCCCCCAAGAGUUCACAUCGACGGGGAGGUUUGGCACCUCGAUGUCGGCUCAUCGCAUCCUGGGGCUGUAGUCGGUCCCAAGGGUUGGGCUGUUCGCCCAUUAAAGCGGUACGCGAGCUGGGUUCAGAACGUCGUGAGACAGUUCGGUCCCUAUCCGUCGUGGGCGUAGGAAAUUUGAGAGGAGCUGUCCUUAGUACGAGAGGACCGGGAUGGACAUACCUCUGGUGUACCAGUUGUCGUGCCAACGGCAUCGCUGGGUAGCUAUGUAUGGACGGGAUAAGUGCUGAAAGCAUCUAAGCAUGAAGCCCCCCUCAAGAUGAGAUUUCCCAACUUCGGUUAUAAGAUCCCUCAAAGAUGAUGAGGUUAAUAGGUUCGAGGUGGAAGCAUAGCGAUAUGUGGAGCUGACGAAUACUAAUCGAUCGAAGACUUAAUCAAAUU